This 25-nucleotide non-coding RNA is filed under the name Arabidopsis thaliana (thale cress). Lineage: Eukaryota; Viridiplantae; Streptophyta; Magnoliopsida; Brassicales; Brassicaceae. The record is from RNAcentral. RNAcentral also lists the same sequence under 1 other name.
AAAGGACUUUGAAAAGAGAGUCAAA